RNAcentral lists this ribosomal RNA (519 nucleotides) under uncultured bacterium. RNAcentral describes it as "partial 16S ribosomal RNA". It matches the Rfam family "Bacterial small subunit ribosomal RNA", at positions 28 to 507 of the family's 1533-position model. The record is from RNAcentral.
GACGAACGCUGGCGGCGUGCCUAAUACAUGCAAGUCGAGCGAACCUAUCAGGAAGUUCCGCCUGCUUGCACUCCGUGGAACGAGAUACAAGCUAGCGGCUAACGUCCGAGUAAAACGGGGGUAACCUGCGCAAGCGAUCGGGAUAACACCUGAAUAUAUUUACUAAUAUCGGAUAAUAACAAAUGAUGCCUAUCAUCUGAUUAAAAGAUGGUUCUGCUAUCCCUCUUGUAGUGGGCUGCGGUGCAGUAGCUAGUUGGUAAGGUAACGGCCUACCAAGGCGACGAUGCAUAGCCGAGUUGAGAGACUGAUCGGCCACAUUGGAACUGAGACACGGCCCAGACUCCUACGGGAGGCAGCAGUAGGGAAUCUUCCGCAAUGGACGAAAGUCUGAUGGAGCAACGCCGCGUGAGUGAUGAAGGUUUUCGGAUCGUAAAGCUCUGUUGUUAGGGAAGAACGAAUGGGGUAGUAACUGAGCAUUGUUUGACGGUACUUAAUCAGAAAGCCACGGCUAACUACGUG